UCUAAUAUGGCAGAUUAGUGCAAUGAAUUUAAGCUUCAUUUAUAAAGUAAAAAACUUUUUUUAGAA
This 66-nucleotide transfer RNA is filed under the name Tanytarsus mendax. Its description in RNAcentral is "tRNA-Leu". The record is from RNAcentral. Lineage: Eukaryota; Metazoa; Arthropoda; Insecta; Diptera; Chironomidae.